AGGGGAUGGGCGGCAGCUUACCAUGCAGUCGAGCGGAGAGAGGUAGCUUGCUACUGAUCUUAGCGGCGGACGGGUGAGUAAUGCUUAGGAAUCUGCCUAUUAGUGGGGGACAACAUUUCGAAAGGAAUGCUAAUACCGCAUACGUCCUACGGGAGAAAGCAGGGGAUCUUCGGACCUUGCGCUAAUAGAUGAGCCUAAGUCGGAUUAGCUAGUUGGUGGGGUAAAGGCCUACCAAGGCGACGAUCUGUAGCGGGUCUGAGAGGAUGAUCCGCCACACUGGGACUGAGACACGGCCCAGACUCCUACGGGAGGCAGCAGUGGGGAAUAUUGGACAAUGGGCGCAAGCCUGAUCCAGCCAUGCCGCGUGUGUGAAGAAGGCCUUAUGGUUGUAAAGCACUUUAAGCGAGGAGGAGGCUACUUUAGUUAAUACCUAGAGAUAGUGGACGUUACUCGCAGAAUAAGCACCGGCUAACUCUGUGCCAGCAGCCGCGGUAAUACAGAGGGUGCAAGCGUUAAUCGGAUUUACUGGGCGUAAAGCGCGCGUAGGCGGCUAAUUAAGUCAAAUGUGAAAUCCCCGAGCUUAACUUGGGAAUUGCAUUCGAUACUGGUUAGCUAGAGUGUGGGAGAGGAUGGUAGAAUUCCAGGUGUAGCGGUGAAAUGCGUAGAGAUCUGGAGGAAUACCGAUGGCGAAGGCAGCCAUCUGGCCUAACACUGACGCUGAGGUGCGAAAGCAUGGGGAGCAAACAGGAUUAGAUACCCUGGUAGUCCAUGCCGUAAACGAUGUCUACUAGCCGUUGGGGCCUUUGAGGCUUUAGUGGCGCAGCUAACGCGAUAAGUAGACCGCCUGGGGAGUACGGUCGCAAGACUAAAACUCAAAUGAAUUGACGGGGGCCCGCACAAGCGGUGGAGCAUGUGGUUUAAUUCGAUGCAACGCGAAGAACCUUACCUGGCCUUGACAUAGUAAGAACUUUCCAGAGAUGGAUUGGUGCCUUCGGGAACUUACAUACAGGUGCUGCAUGGCUGUCGUCAGCUCGUGUCGUGAGAUGUUGGGUUAAGUCCCGCAACGAGCGCAACCCUUUUCCUUAUUUGCCAGCGAGUAAUGUCGGGAACUUUAAGGAACUGCCCCUGACAAACUGGAGGAAGGCGGGGACAAAAUCAA
RNAcentral lists this ribosomal RNA (1159 nucleotides) under Acinetobacter pittii. Its description in RNAcentral is "bacterial SSU rRNA". It matches the Rfam family "Bacterial small subunit ribosomal RNA", at positions 28 to 1188 of the family's 1533-position model. Lineage: Bacteria; Pseudomonadati; Pseudomonadota; Gammaproteobacteria; Moraxellales; Moraxellaceae. The record is from RNAcentral.